RNAcentral lists this ribosomal RNA (1485 nucleotides) under Synechococcus sp. AH-551-A21. RNAcentral's name for it is "bacterial SSU rRNA". It matches the Rfam family "Bacterial small subunit ribosomal RNA". Lineage: Bacteria; Bacillati; Cyanobacteriota; Cyanophyceae; Synechococcales; Synechococcaceae. The record is from RNAcentral.
ACAACGGAGAGUUUGAUCCUGGCUCAGGAUGAACGCUGGCGGCGUGCUUAACACAUGCAAGUCGAACGAACCUUCGGGUUAGUGGCGGACGGGUGAGUAACGCGUGGGAAUCUGCCCUCAGGAGGGGGAUAACGGUUGGAAACGGCCGCUAAUACCCCAUAUGCCGAGAGGUGAAAUGAAUUUCGCCUGAGGAUGAGCCCGCGUCUGAUUAGCUAGUUGGUGAGGUAAGAGCUCACCAAGGCAUCGAUCAGUAGCUGGUCUGAGAGGAUGAUCAGCCACACUGGGACUGAGACACGGCCCAGACUCCUACGGGAGGCAGCAGUGGGGAAUUUUCCGCAAUGGGCGAAAGCCUGACGGAGCAACGCCGCGUGAGGGAUGAAGGCCUCUGGGCUGUAAACCUCUUUUAUCAAGGAAGAAGAUCUGACGGUACUUGAUGAAUAAGCCACGGCUAAUUCCGUGCCAGCAGCCGCGGUAAUACGGGAGUGGCAAGCGUUAUCCGGAAUUAUUGGGCGUAAAGCGUCCGCAGGCGGCCCUACAAGUCUGCUGUUAAAAAGUGGAGCUUAACUCCAUCAUGGCAGUGGAAACUGUUGGGCUUGAGUGUGGUAGGGGCAGAGGGAAUUCCCGGUGUAGCGGUGAAAUGCGUAGAUAUCGGGAAGAACACCAGUGGCGAAGGCGCUCUGCUGGGCCAUCACUGACGCUCAUGGACGAAAGCCAGGGGAGCGAAAGGGAUUAGAUACCCCUGUAGUCCUGGCCGUAAACGAUGAACACUAGGUGUCGGGGGAAUCGACCCCUCCGGUGUCGUAGCCAACGCGUUAAGUGUUCCGCCUGGGGAGUACGCACGCAAGUGUGAAACUCAAAGGAAUUGACGGGGGCCCGCACAAGCGGUGGAGUAUGUGGUUUAAUUCGAUGCAACGCGAAGAACCUUACCAGGGUUUGACAUCCUGCGAAUCUCUUGGAAACUUGAGAGUGCCUUCGGGAGCGCAGUGACAGGUGGUGCAUGGCUGUCGUCAGCUCGUGUCGUGAGAUGUUGGGUUAAGUCCCGCAACGAGCGCAACCCACGUCUUUAGUUGCCAGCAUUUAGUUGGGCACUCUAGAGAGACCGCCGGUGAUAAACCGGAGGAAGGUGUGGAUGACGUCAAGUCAUCAUGCCCCUUACAUCCUGGGCUACACACGUACUACAAUGCUACGGACAAAGGGCAGCAAGUUCGCGAGGACAAGCAAAUCCCAUAAACCGUAGCUCAGUUCAGAUCGUAGGCUGCAACUCGCCUACGUGAAGGAGGAAUCGCUAGUAAUCGCAGGUCAGCAUACUGCGGUGAAUACGUUCCCGGGCCUUGUACACACCGCCCGUCACACCAUGGAAGUUGGCCACGCCCGAAGCCGUUACUCCAACCCUUGUGGAGGAGGACGUCGAAGGUGGGGCUGAUGACUGGGGUGAAGUCGUAACAAGGUAGCCGUACCGGAAGGUGCGGCUGGAUCACCUCCUAA